GGGACGUAUGAUUACGCGGUUUCCUUUUAUAAUUAAUGUAGUUAGAUAAGUACAUUAUUUUUUAAAUAAAUAGCUUUUUUUGUAGCAACCCUAAAACGCUUUAAAUUGAAGCUAGAACAGGCAAAUUUUUGGUCUGUAUUCGUUAGUAGUUAAUGUGGCAUAAAAACUCCCGCAUACCUGAGACUUUUAGUCGCCCUAUAGAUUGAUCUGAUCUAGAUGUGAGUGCGCACCUAGCACGACGAAAUAAUUGGUUGGUUGUGGGCUGCAUGUAGAUCAGGCCUUGUGGCGGGACGUAAGCGAAAGCGUGCCCGUAGCCCAGGCCUAAGGCGUUGGAGGAACCGAGGGGUUUAGUGGGCAUGCCCCCUCAUUAUGGGGCGAGAAUUACAGUUGCUGUCGGAUGACAGAAGGAAUAUAAUUAGAAGAUACUGGUGCUGUAUUCUUCAUGUAACAUUUAAUCAACUCUCAAGACUUAAGAUAGUUAAAAUAAUUUGGAAAGAAGACAAACACAUAAAUAAACAGUUUAUAUGAAAUAAUGCUAAGCAACAGUAGAAUUCUUUAAGAAUUUAUCACAGAGAUAUUAUCAUAAUAGAAAAGUGAUGUUGACUUAAAAUCUCUUGUUGUAGUCCAUCUUGCAAUUGUAAUCAUUCUUGUAAUUCAAAAAUGAAUAUAACAUCAUAAUGAAUGGAAUUUAUCUUGUGAUUUGUGACUAAUGUUUUUUUUUACUGAAAACACAUUAUAGGUUUCACUUUUUUUUCUUUGGAACACACAGAGAUAGUUGCGGAUUGCAUGUGGUCAGAAAUAAAGUUAAUUUAGAUGUUACAUAUUUAAAACAAUUUACUAGCUAAGUAAUAUAAAUUAGCCAUAAAUUGAUUCUUUUAAUUUGCAUGGUGGAGACUUCUAAUUCCUGAUUUACAAAUGUUCAGCAUCCAUAUUAUUUACAGUCAGAUAAGAUAAGAUUAAUCAAAUGUUUAGAGUUUUUUAAGCCUGCAAAGUUUAGUAUUAGCUGCCAACUUAUAGACACAUCAUCCAAUAUUUUACAGCAACAUUAA
This is a long non-coding RNA of Papilio polytes (common Mormon), 1049 nucleotides long. RefSeq lists it as uncharacterized. The transcript is spliced from 2 exons. NCBI's taxonomy places the organism in Eukaryota, Metazoa, Arthropoda, Insecta, Lepidoptera, Papilionidae. The record is from RefSeq and is a predicted model, not a curated record.